UCGGUGAUGAAGGGCAAGCGAGGUUCCUACCCAUGGGCUCUGGCAAGGUGAGAUAUUUAUUAGUUACCUUGCUCGCCUCCUGUUUGAUGAAAGGUCUAUGAGCUGAUCCUGCUGCGUUUCAUGUCCUACAGAUCUUGAAUUCAUGAUAAACAUUUUUAAAUGAUGUAGUUGCUACACAUGGAAAUCCAAGGAAAACAUAUAUCUCACUGAUGGAUUUGCAGUAUGCCUAAUCUUGGACGUGUGCAAACCAACAUAGUUGUGAAUGAGCUCUGCUAGAUUGUCUCAGCUCAUGCCAUGAGCGUUGGUAGUGUGUCACUGCAAUGCGUAAUGUCCAUUCCUUCUGCCUUUUUCCUUUCUGUACAUUUGGAGAAAAAUGCACACAUGUUAUUUCUGCAUUUGACAAUUCCAUUUAGGUGUAAAAACCUGGCUUUGUUUUGUUCCUUUUUGUUCUCUGUACAGUUUUUGCACUGACCAAUGAACUGUGAUGUCCAUGAAUGCUAUUAAGGCACUGUUGAACUCCGCCUUUUCCUAUCUGUACAUUUGGAGAAUAAUGCAUACAUGUUGUCACAGCAAUUUUUUGUUGGGGUUCACAUGUUGUGACUAUAUGUAUGAGACUGACAUAGUAAGUUUUCCCCUUUACAGGAAGAUUAAAAGUUAAGUUUUCUGACGGUGAGUUAUGUGUGGUUUGAGGGGUUGCAGCUUGCCUAACAGAGGUUCCCUAAAAACGAUGUUUCGGGAAAAGUAAGCAGUAUUCUCCUCGACCGUCCGAUUUGUACGUGGCCCCUUCUUGUCCCAUGUUGCUCUGCUUAUUCCCCUGAUUCUUUUUUUUCAUUUUUUCUUUUCUUAUGAAUUGUCUAAGACGCCUGCUUCGGUGCUCCGGUUUGUUAUUUGCAGGUGCUGAUCGUGCUGCAAGUUGAUGCCUGGGUUUACAACUGGUGGUUUUUCCAUUCCUUAAUCCUCAUGUCUUCUUGUGUGUGUGUGUCACAUGUGCUUACAUCUAGGUUUGAUGCGAAUUUUCUUUUUACAGGGUGCUAGCCACUGUAGUUCUGUUUGUUUGUUCGUAGGACACAGAUGACAAACGGUGAUAUUGCGGUCUCUUUACCUUCAUAUUCUUGUCUUGGUUUUGUUUCUUUCUGCGUGUAUCUACGCCAUGGCUGAACAUUCUUUACUCAUUGAUAUGUGUAUUCACGGGUUUGUUCUUCUUCUAGAGAAUUAAGUUGGUGAAAUUGUUGGUGACUUUUAUUAUUGUUAAUUGCUCAGAGUGAUUGUUCUCAAAGUAGUCUUGAACAAUUAAUCAUUUGCAGGUAUUUAUCUAACCUUUAGUGGCUUCAGUUUCCUGUCAUCUUUCUUUUGGAAAUGGAAAUUGUUGUUGCUUCCCAGGUCAGCUGAGGUGAUAACUGAACCCUCUUAUACUGUAGAACAGAUUCAGUAUUCGCUUAUAUUCUCAUGAGCUCAAGGAUAGUUUUCUUUGUGUUGUUGUGGCUAUGGACAGCUGUCGAAAAAAGAGAAGACGAUAAGCGAGACUACUACAGCGAGAGAGACGGCGGCCAAUAUUGUGUUAGUUGCCUGCUUUAUGCAAAACUAAAACAAGUGAGACUGAAAUGCUUUGGCAUGUAUUGGCUAAAUUAGAACGUAGUAUGAGAUUGGCAUAUGCAGGAUAACACUACAAGUUGACACACAUAGCAUGUAUUGGCUAAAUUAGAACGCAUGAGAUUAUCAUAUGCUUUCUCAAAAAAGAAGAAGAGAGAUUGACAUAUGCAGGAUAACACUACAAGUUGGCACACCUAGGCAAUUGAUUAAUUUUUUUUGUUUUGUCUCUUUGCAUAGUGCCCAGGUAGUGUUUGCACAGAUUAUUUGUUAAAUUGUUAAGAUGUCUCUUUCUUUAUCAGCAUGUACAAAAGGUUCAGCAAAGUGGGACUCCCAAGUCUGCAACCACAAUAGAAAUAAGGCCAUGGAGCAAGAGUUCUGUUGGGCAUCCUUUGCAUUUAUCUUGUCAGGUUCCAUGCUUCAUAGCAUGUGUAUAAGCAUAGAAGUACACACAUACACUGCAGUUCGUAAUGUCACUUAAUAGGGGAUGCAUUAGGGUACUUUAUUUCCAUUAUAAACUGAUAAUAAUUAUGAGUUUAGAAAGGUAACAAUAAUCUGGGUUAUAGCAGAAUAUUAAAUGUGGUAUGCUUGUAUGAGUAGAAAAUGCAGAGUUUAUAAAUGAACUAAAAUUUGUGAGCAGGAAGUGGUAGGUUUAAUUUCAGUUAGAAAAAUAGGUGUACUGCAGCAUCAUAUAUUCAGGUAAUCCCUUGAAUUUUUUUGCCAUGUUCAGGCUUUAUACAUCGUUUGUAUAUGCAUAAAGUACGCCACAUGAACUGGAGUUCGUAGUGUCAGGAGUAAGAGGGGUGCAACUAAGUAGUAGCAUGUUACAGGAUAAGAACAGCUGUUUAGUUUAACAGUGCCCUUUAACAGUUUAACUCCAAAGAGGUCGAUAUAUCUGAACUCUAGAGUAUAAGAUGCAUGUUCCUACUCUUCCUGAGAUCACGGUUAUCAUAACUAUUUAUUUGAGAUAUGCGAAGUGUUCCUUUGAUAGUAGAUGCAACUUGCAGCUAUUGUGGACAUUCGUUUGUUCGUGGGAAGUUUUGUCUCUUCCCUACAGUCAAAGCUCAUGUGCAAUUUGGAGAAAAUGCACACAUGCUAUCGCUGCAUUUGGCGGUUCCUUUUAGCUAAAAAAACCUGGCUUUGUUUUGUUCCUUUUUGUUCUCUGUUUAUUACUGUUAAUUGCUCAGAGCGAUUAUUCCCAAAGUAGUCUUGAAUAAUUAAUCAUUUGCAUGUAUCUAACCAAUAGCGGCUUACGUUUCCUGGUCAUUUUUCUUUUGGAAAUGGAAGUUAUUGCUUCCUAGGUGAGCUGAGGUGAUAACUGAACUCCCUUCUACUAUUGAGAAGAUUCAGUAUUCACUUAUAUUUUCAUUAGCCCAAGGAUAGUUUUUAUUGUGUUGUGGCUGUGGGCAGCUACCGAAAAAAGAAAAGAGGAUGAGCGAGACUACUGCAGUGAGAGAUGGUGGCCACGAGAGCUAUGGAUGCAGGAGAGGGUUCAUGUUGUUUAUAUAGUUCCUCUAGGCCGUGUGUCUUUCCAUCCCCCGCUCCAGGAGAGGGUUCAUGUUGUUUAUUUUAUUAGUCGAAUAUGAUAUAAUAUGAGAUCACCUACCAUCGUCAUUCUUGAUUACAGUCUCAUACAAAAGUAGUCCAGUUAGUUGUACUAAUUCAUAUAUAUUUUUGGUAUGGUUCUUAUUUGGUUUCAAUACACAGAAAUUUGAAAGGCAUAUAAGAGAAAAAUCCAUGGCAUCACUUCAAAUUGUGAUCUUUAUUUGGUUAGCAAGGCCUUCCUUUGGUGGCUAUGUUUUUUUUUCAAUUGUGAUGUUUGAAACAAUUUUUUUAUACUAAUAAUGAUCUAGAAUACAACAGACCAAUGAUUUAUACAAAGAGACACAAUGGGAGUUGACCGGAAACCUGGCUUCUGAAAGGACUGAUAUAUACAAAAUAUUAUUUGACUAGAACAGGAGAGAUGCAAUCUUAUGGAUAAUUCAACAUUUGCAAGAAACUUCCCAGCUUAGCCCUCCUAUUGCUCACCUAAAGAUUUAUUUCCUUCGUUUCAGUGCCUGCUUUUGAUGAUAUGAAACUAACAAGGCAGAAGGUACUUCUCAUGGUUAAUUUAUUAUAUUUUUGUAGAAACUGGAUAAAGAAAAUACCGUGCACUUUCUUAUAGUCUUUUGGCUGCCCUGUUGUUUUGGCUUUCUUUUAGGACAGAGGGCACACAAUGCUUAACAGGUGAUCUAAAUUCAUAGUCAUCGGUUCUUACCAUGUGCCUGUUAUUUUAUUUUGCAUUUUUUAUGCAUCACAUCGUUUCCUUUAUAACAAGUGAUCUGAAUUCAUGGUCAUUGGUUUACUGACCGUUGGCAGCUUUUCUGUUUCUUCAUGACAAGAAAACCAUAUAGCGCUUGUACGCUUUAGCCUUGUCCUGGUUACUAGAACUGCUUCGAUGUUGCUCUAUUAUAAGUGCCUUGCUUGCACCAGUACUCAUGGUUGUCUUUUCUGAGCCUAUAAAAUCUUUGAUGGAGCAAACUCCUAUGGUUGCUGAUCCAUCACAAUAUUGACCAUGAACUUUGUGCCCAUCUCCGAGGUUAGUAAUUCCAGAAUUCGAGUUGCACGUACUGCCGUAGAGAGUAAAACGUGUCGUGCUGAUGCUCUCUACGACACUAACUCAUGGAUCAAUGUUUAUCUCUGUGUUUGUCUGUGUUUUGUGUUAGAUUAUUUUGUGUAUACCCCUCCUAAAUACGAGUCUUUUUAGAAAUUUCACUAUGGACUACAUACGGAGUAAAAUGAGUGAAUCUACACUUUAAUAUAUGUCUACGCACGUAGUUUGUAGUGGAAUCUCUAAAAAGACUUAUACUGUAUUUAGAAACGGAGGGAG
Molecule: long non-coding RNA, 4456 nt
Filed under: Triticum aestivum (bread wheat)
Lineage: Eukaryota; Viridiplantae; Streptophyta; Magnoliopsida; Poales; Poaceae
Description: long non-coding RNA (TAES_LNC024297)
Source: RNAcentral